RNAcentral lists this ribosomal RNA (518 nucleotides) under uncultured bacterium. Its description in RNAcentral is "bacterial SSU rRNA". It matches the Rfam family "Bacterial small subunit ribosomal RNA", at positions 373 to 882 of the family's 1533-position model. The record is from RNAcentral.
GGACGAAAGUCUGACGGAGCAACGCCGCGUGAGUGAAGAAGGUUUUCGGAUCGUAAAGCUCUGUCUUUGAGGACGAAUGUGUCUAAUGUGAAUAAUGUUAGAUAAUGACGGUACUCGAGGAGGAAGCCACGGCUAACUACGUGCCAGCAGCCGCGGUAAUACGUAGGUGGCAAGCGUUGUCCGGAAUUAUUGGGCGUAAAGCGCGCGCAGGCGGGAUAUUAAGUCUGUUUUAAAAGUUCGGGGCUCAACCCCGUGAUGGAAUGGAAACUAAUAUUCUUGAGUGCAGGAGAGGAAAGUGGAAUUCCCAGUGUAGCGGUGAAAUGCGUAGAUAUUGGGAGGAACACCAGUGGCGAAGGCGACUUUCUGGACUGUGUCUGACGCUGAGGCGCGAAAGCCAGGGGAGUGAACGGGAUUAGAUACCCCGGUAAUCCUGGCCGUAAACGAUGGGUACUAGGUGUAGGAGGUAUCGACCCCUUCUGUGCCGGAGUUAACGCAAUAAGUACCCCGCCUGGGGAGUA